Molecule: ribosomal RNA, 752 nt
Filed under: uncultured bacterium
Lineage: Bacteria
Description: bacterial SSU rRNA
Rfam family: Bacterial small subunit ribosomal RNA
Source: RNAcentral
UNUGACUUGAGUGCAGAAGGGGAGAGUGGAAUUCCAUGUGUAGCGGUGAAAUGCGUAGAUAUAUGGAGGAACACCAGUGGCGAAAGCGGCUCUCUGGUCUGUCACUGACGCUGAGGCUCGAAAGCGUGGGUAGCGAACAGGAUUAGAUACCCUGGUAGUNCACGCCGUAAACGAUGAGUGCUAGGUGUUAGGCCCUUUCCGGGGCUUAGUGCCGGAGCUAACGCAAUAAGCACUCCGCCUGGGGAGUACGACCGCAAGGUUGAAACUCAAAGGAAUUGACGGGGGCCCGCACAAGCGGUGGAGCAUGUGGUUUAAUUCGAAGCAACGCGAAGAACCUUACCAGGUCUUGACAUCCCGAUGCUAUUCUUAGAGAUAGGAAGUUACUUCGGUACAUCGGAGACAGGUGGUGCAUGGUUGUCGUCAGCUCGUGUCGUGAGAUGUUGGGUUAAGUCCCGCAACGAGCGCAACCCUUAUUGUUAGUUGCCAUCAUUAAGUUGGGCACUCUAGCGAGACUGCCGGUAAUAAACCGGAGGAAGGUGGGGAUGACGUCAAAUCAUCAUGCCCCUUAUGACCUGGGCUACACACGUGCUACAAUGGUCGGUACAACGAGUUGCGAGCCGGUGACGGCAAGCUAAUCUCUGAAAGCCGAUCUCAGUUCGGAUUGGAGGCUGCAACUCGCCUCCAUGAAGUCGGAAUCGCUAGUAAUCGCGGAUCAGCACGCCGCGGUGAAUACGUUCCCGGGCCUUGUACAC